UACGUAGGGUGCGAGCGUUAAUCGGAAUUACUGGGCGUAAAGUGUGCGCAGGCGGCCGCGCAAGUCGAGUGUGAAAGCCCCGGGCUUAACUUGGGAAUUGCGCUCGAAACUACGUGGCUGGAGUGUGGCAGAGGAAGGUGGAAUUCCAGGUGUAGCGGUGAAAUGCGUAGAGAUCUGGAGGAACACCGAUGGCGAAGGCAGCCUUCUGGGCCAACACUGACGCUCGUGCACGAAAGCGUGGGGAGCAAACAGG
This 253-nucleotide ribosomal RNA is filed under the name uncultured bacterium. RNAcentral describes it as "partial 16S ribosomal RNA". It matches the Rfam family "Bacterial small subunit ribosomal RNA", at positions 524 to 776 of the family's 1533-position model. The record is from RNAcentral.